This is a non-coding RNA of Vicia faba (fava bean), 285 nucleotides long. NCBI's taxonomy places the organism in Eukaryota, Viridiplantae, Streptophyta, Magnoliopsida, Fabales, Fabaceae. The record is from the annotation of a GenBank genome assembly.
AUGUUCAAUGUUUGUUUUCUAAAUAUUAUAAGUGGGAUUUUAAAUUGGAGGAAAAUCUUACAAAUUCUCCAAAAGCAAAUAGCAAGAACAAAUGCUAGAAAUAGAAAACAAUUGAAGAUUCCACGUACACUCGGAUCUGAGUCGAUUGCAAGGAAGCGAAAUAAGUUGGAAUUAAGAGACGGACGGGCAUAUAGAAGAGGAGAAAUGUAUACAAUUUAUCAUAAAAAAAUUGACGGAUCAUUUGUCAAUGAAGAUGUCUACAACAAUAAUAUAAGUGUAACUUAA